GCCGACGUAACUCAGUGGAAGAGUAGCACCCUCCGAAGGUGAAAGUCAUGGGUUCAAGUCCCAUCGUUGGCAC
RNAcentral lists this transfer RNA (73 nucleotides) under Microbacterium phage Big4. Its description in RNAcentral is "tRNA-Arg". It matches the Rfam family "tRNA". Rfam says of the family: Transfer RNA (tRNA) molecules are approximately 80 nucleotides in length. Their secondary structure includes four short double-helical elements and three loops (D, anti-codon, and T loops). Further hydrogen bonds mediate the characteristic L-shaped molecular structure. tRNAs have two regions of fundamental functional importance: the anti-codon, which is responsible for specific mRNA codon recognition, and the 3' end, to which the tRNAs corresponding amino acid is attached (by aminoacyl-tRNA synthetases). tRNAs cope with the degeneracy of the genetic code in two manners: having more than one tRNA (with a specific anti-codon) for a particular amino acid; and 'wobble' base-pairing, i.e. permitting non-standard base-pairing at the 3rd anti-codon position. The record is from RNAcentral. Lineage: Duplodnaviria; Heunggongvirae; Uroviricota; Caudoviricetes.